AUGGCCAAAUCACGCUGAAACACUAGUCCUCGUCUGACCAUCAAAAUUAAGCAGCAUCGAGCCUAGUGAGUACCUAGGUAAGUGACUGCUUGGGAAUAUCAGGUGUUGUAC
Non-coding RNA from Acanthosepion pharaonis, 111 nucleotides. The record is from the annotation of a GenBank genome assembly. NCBI's taxonomy places the organism in Eukaryota, Metazoa, Mollusca, Cephalopoda, Sepiida, Sepiidae.